This 7542-nucleotide long non-coding RNA is filed under the name Lactuca sativa (garden lettuce). RNAcentral's name for it is "long non-coding RNA (LSAT_LNC009513)". Lineage: Eukaryota; Viridiplantae; Streptophyta; Magnoliopsida; Asterales; Asteraceae. The record is from RNAcentral.
AACACUAAUUAACCAUGUAUAAAUAUCCUAAUGCGCGGAAAACACUUUGGUCAAGUGUUAGGAGGCUAUCGGGUUGCAACAAGAGAGUGCAAGACCUCAUACAUGAGUUUAUAGUCUAAAGAUGAUGUGUGAUGGAGUUUACGGCCCAGGGGAGUAAACUCCUGGCCGUAAACUCUCUAUUGGGUCACUAAAUGAAGCUUAAAGUUAUUACAACUUAAGUGGUGAAGUGCUUCAAGGCUUACUAGAGUGUUAGGGCUUCCUUUUAACUCCUUUGAGGAGUUCACGGCCUUGGGAACAUAUCCCUUGGAGAUUAUGGUCGUAAUCUCCCUUGGUAGGGUGCUUGUGGUGUUUUCAAGUCCCUAAUUUAACUAGGAACUAAACUAUGCUAGUGUAGAAGGCUUUAGAAGAGUUUAUAGCACCAUUUGGCACUAUUUUUUGGAGUUCACGGCCCUGGAACUUCUUGGGCCAUGAACACCUUACUCUUGGUGUUCUGAUGGUGUUUUCUAGCCCUAAACUCAUUAGGGUACAUGUCCAAAUUAGUCUCUUGGCUUAAGGAAGGCUUUUAGGGUGUUUUGGCAUCUAAAAAUGGAGUUCACGACCAAAGAACAUCAUUGGCCGUGAACUCACUUUCAACCCUUGAUUCUUGAUGUUUUGGAUGCCUAAACCAGCUAUGGGUAGUCUCAAGGUUCAUUUCCAAGGUUUGGAGGGACAUUGGGCACACUUUGGCCCUUAUAAAAGAGUUUACUCUCCAAGUGUUCUUGGGCGGUAAACUCUCAAAUCUUGCGGUUUUGAUCUGAUUUUGAUGUUAUUAGGCACAAUAUAAGCUAUAUAUUACAACUAGAUAGGAGUACUCACGAUUUGGGAUGAAAACCCGAAGAUCCGUGAGAGAGAAUUUGACUUUUCUCUAGUUGGAAAUGUAACUAAUAAAUAAAUAUGGUUCAUAUUUCUAUAUAUAGUCCUGGGAUUUUUGGCAGAAAAUAUUUCAUUCCCGGAAUGAACUCUAAUAUCAUAGAGUUUUGGAAUAAUAGUGUCGCAUAAAACCCUAGUGCAUCCGCUCUCCUGAUAUCUCCUUAAGUGCAAAUCCUGAAAUACUCAAACUUAUACCCAAAGUCUGGAAUUUCACUGUAACUGUUCUAACUUCUAUUGACUUCAUAUGGUUUGUUCAGAAUGGAAAGUUCGGUUUGUCACAUCAUCCCCCUGUUAAAGGGAAUUUCGUCCCGAAAUUAGAAUUUAGGCAAGGAAGUAGGUACGAAUGAUCGAAUCAUGAUUUGGGGACUUCCUAAUCGAUUGGUUCUCGCGCUCCUAAGUGAAAUCGGCUCCUCGGUUGGUAUCCCAACGAACCUUCACUAACGGGCGUCUGUGUUGCUUCGUCUGCUUGACCUUUAUUCCUAGGGUCACUACAUUUCUAAUACGAAUGCGAGGAUCUCGUUAAUCUUGAUCUCGUCGAGUAGGCUUACGAGGGUCCUAACGGAAAGGUAUGGUUUCAAAAUCAAGACGCGAAGGGUAUAAUGUACGUUACUGAGUUUGCGGAGUAGGUCUAGUUUUCGAGGUACAGGACCGAUUCUGUUAAGAAUCUCGGAGGUCCUAACUAUAUUUGAUUUAGCUUUCCACGCUUUACGAAGCAUAUUAAGCCAUUCCCAGAGUGAGAUUUCUUAAGGAAUUUGGUCUCUCACUUGGAAUUCCAAAAGUUCUUUCUCUUGCUAAACUUCCCAGUCAAGGGCCACCCCUUGUUGGGUUAAAUUUGAAAGGGUUUCUGUGAUUUGUGAGGAGUUCUGGAUGAUCUAUGACAGUAGGUUUGUAAGACCUAGAAUUUGGUGAAUUCCUGUCGGCGUCCCUGGUGUCGUCAAAUUCUCAACGGUUUUGUUAAAUUGACAGAGUACUAAAGAAUUUCCAUAUCACUAAUAGCGUGUCUUAGGAAAUUUUGACUCUUCAAUUCCAAACUCGUGUUCAGAGAACUUUGUGAAAAGUAUCUCUGAGGGUAAUGUUUCAGCGGGUUCCUUCUUACUACGAGGGUAGAUAAGUAAGUUGUUACACGGAGAAUGACGAACUGGUCCAAGUAAGAAAGACGGACUCUAAUCAUUAAACUCAUGAAUGCUUCGGGCGUAUUGGUCCUAUACGAGGGGUAUCACUACGGACUCGAAGUGUCCGCAUCGAGUUCGAAAGGUAGUCUUAGGGACAUGCUUCCCUCACACUAAAACUGGUGAUAUUUGGAUCUCAGGUCCAUCCCUGAGAGUAAUUCUUUCCUUGCGUUUGCUCAACCGCUUCAUCUAUGCGAGGCAGAGACAAUAAUUUCCAAUGGAAAAUCUUGAUAGAGUCCUCGAUAGCCGAGGUACAUAUGAUGCAAUCCGUCGAUCUCUGAAAGAAUAUGACCGGGGCUCUCCGGAGUGAGAAGCCUAGUCUUCUAAUUCUAUUUUUGUGUAGUUCGCUAAGUUGUCCGGGUUGUUCUUGUAUCUCUGUAGUUGUUUAGACUGUAGGGCAAUCCGUUUACAAGAUUCAUACUGGGUUCUAGGUUUGUUCACAUGACGAUGCGAUUACUCGUAGACUUAGGCAGUUCUCCGUCUUGAAGUUCAUAUUAGAAUUCAUACAUGGUUUCACAAUCAGAAUCUCGUGUAUAUGAGUCGUAUAUAAUUAAGAUUGAAAAGGUAGUCGAAUAACUGAUUCUUCUUUAAGCUCACAUCCCAUCGAGGAAAAGAAGUUAAAGUGGAAUCAUCAAUUCUAAACCUGUAGAACCUUGAUUAUAUAUCACUCUUAUGUAUACAUUCCUCAGUGAUAGAUCAACCGUAUGAAUUCUUGGAUUGAACUUGACGUACUGCACGAGUGGUACUUCGGGGAUUUCUUCGGAAAGAAAAGAACUAUGAGGUACUCCAUGCAUGAGCACUUCGGUGUUCUGAUAUAACAGCUUCACUAAAACGACGUUUAUUGGUAAAGAGAUGUACUUAAGAAGCUGGUAUGGUGUGGAUCAAACUGAAUCUAUUUGUAUGAUAAUGUCGGAAUCAUAUGGAAACUUAAAGACAUUAGAUUUGAACAUAAGGCGUUUACAGACAAAACACAACCGUGCAACCAUCAACAGAGUUACAUUAUUUUAGACUACUACAAGAUCAUUGCUGCGAAUGAGGUAUACUACAAAAGACAAGUAUACACAGCACGAGCAUCCUUAUACCGACAGGAUCUCACAAAAAGGUAAGACACUAGUUGCACUUGUUCUGGAUAGUUUAUAAGUCUGUUACAACAACACGCCUAGAUUACAUUAACGAGGGUCCGACGUAGUUUCUCCUGCAGCUGUGAUCCUAAGAAUCUUCCCAUCAGCACCCGAGUUCUUAGCUAUCGGGCAAUCCUUCUUGAGGUGUCCAAUCUCACCGCAUUGGUGACAUAUCUGGACAGCACCAACAUUGGUGGUGGAAGUGAGGUGUUUAGUCAGUGUUAUGUGGACACGAGUGCAUUCCUCAUUAUUCCACCUUGGAAAUUGCUUCCUAAAGCGUUUGGCUUUAUCACUACUCUUGUGUGUAGGGCUGGUCCCGAUGAUAGGAACUUGAGUGAUGGGUCGUGUCGGUGCUCCACAGCUACGAGCAUGGUGCCCUAUUCUUAGGCAAUUGCAACAUUGCAUCUCAUGGCAAGCCCCUUGAUGAUGGAAACUACACUUAUCACACUUCGGGAGUUUUCCCUCGUAUGGCCUGCUCGAUACGGGGAUGGCAGGGGUUUCCACUUGUUGUUGUUGCAUGGCAAGUUUUUGGGAUUUCUUGCGUUCUUUCUGGGCUUGGCACUUUCGUUUCUUGUUCCCUGUUUUUCGGCUUUGCGAGCCUGUGGCUGUUACCGUUUGAUGACUUCCUGGAUGGAUACCCUGAUUGGAAACUUCAACCCCAUCAUCAUCAUUGAUUGUGCUGAUAGCGCUACGGUGCGCAAGGACAUCGGUUACGGCAGCCAUCAUGGCAGUUGUAACUGCAGUUUGGAAGGUAGCGGCGUCCAUAGGAAAGGUAGAGGUUUCGUUGUUCGACUGAUUGUUUCCGGAUGACGACAUGAUUCUAUAACACAAAAGAUAAGGAUUUUGUGAGCGAUUUUGGCUGACCCUAGAUAUACUUUGAUUGCUCAAUCAAAGAGUAAGAGUAUGUUCUCGAAAGUUUGACAUACAUCCCUAUGAUGCAUUCCUAGUACAGAUUGGAGGUAUGUUCACGAAGGUUUGACCUACAUCCCUAUGAUGCAUUCCUAGUAAUGGGUAGAUGUAAGUUCGUAGAAUGGUCUCAAGACGGUUGUCGUUCAAGCCGAGGUAUCGAUGGUUGGUGAAUAACAUGAUCCAACCACUAAAAGAGACUUGGAAAUGUCUCCGGAGUUAAAUUACUAUAGUCCAAUGACUUGACUAAAGCAUGUUUCAGAUAGACUCCAAUGAAAGAAUGAUAAGAGUACUUGAAUAAAGAAUGACACAGAAGUUAGCCGACUGUCAAUAGCUUUGAUAUUCAUGACUUACAAGUUCGGGAAAAUGACUUUGUAAAAGGUCUUACAUCAUAUCCAGAGAAGAUAGUCCUUGAUAACAUAAAGACUUAACGAAAACUACUUACAGUACAAGAUAGUUUCAUAGAAAAUGCCACAUCGGGCAUAGACAUAAAUCGAUUCUUUUCUAACAAGGAAAGUAAAGUAAGGCAUCUACUACUGGCGACAGUCAUCCCUCUGGUGAACUCUCAGUUCCGUCAGUUGACGUUCCACAUCAAGUAGAUGUCUUUCGUACACUCUUUGGCGUACUCGGAGCUCUAUGACUUCGACUCGUGAUUCAGCGAAUGCUUGAAGCAGGGUUUCAUGGUUUCUCUCAUAUCUCUCACGAGCAUCUUCUAGACGAAUGGUGCGGAGGGUAUGCAUUCUCGUAUCAGCGACAACUUCGGUGAUCUGAUGUAGGGCUGUCCUGCCUUGAAUCUCAUUUCGGCCACUCUGCGGACCAAGAUUGGCAAGACNCCCAUUGCUCUUCGUAAAAGCUUUGAUCACCAUUAAAUGGCAUGGGCUGAUCUUGACCUUGGCUCCAUGUUUCCAAGCAUUCCACCCACUCAGGCGUCGGGCCGUGAAAAGCCAGACGAGGGUUAGGAAUUGGAAAGGGAGCUACUCGGAGUAGGUUCUUAACCUUAGGUUCGGAGUUAGCAUCGUCCGAAAGGUCUUCAUCAUGGUGAUCAUUCAAAGGGAUAGGAUGAUCAUUCUUUGGUUCUUCUUCAAACCAUCCAGCAAUGACCUCAUUCGGAAGGUACUGGUUGCUGUGGGGAUGGAGUCCAGCCAUGUUAUCUACGCGAGAAUUGGGGUAAGAAAAUAAUUAUUAGACGAACUAUCUAGAUAAUUAUUUAGAAAAUCUUCAUUAGUUACAUCGCUAUUUGUGAAGUGCAUACCAGUUAUAUGUAAUCGAAACAGGAUAGGCCUUCGAAUAAGCGACCUUAACUCCAAAUUCACACAGAAUAGGGGUAAAGUAAAUUUUUCACAGAUUUUAAGUCUAUAACAUCCUAAUUACAUAUUGCCUUACUGUAUCCAAUUAGCAACUAUCAACUUAGUAAUGAAGAUCCUGUUUUAGUUCUCAAGUAUAAAGCACUUAUAGUAACACCAAAUACUCCUAUAGUAUUUUAAGUUUAAUGUUAUGUUCUACUGUUCUCAUUGUGGUAGGGUUGGUAAGAUUUUUAGACUUGUUGCAACCACACAACUACACUUAGGCACAUGCUAGUCAACCCUCAGAUAAUAUAGUUGAUCAAGCUAUAUCUUCCCAGUUUUGACUAUAUGUCUCUAAGUCCACCUAUGUUGCCCAACAAUCGUAAUUCUUUUGUAUUGUCCUAGUGACACUGAUUUUAGUAUGAAUGCAACACGUAUACUUAAUUAAAUAUUUUAUUAUUUAAAGUAUAAACUCUAGGUCAGAGUAUUUUUAAUCCCAUUGUAUUUAUAGUCUGUAUAUCUUUUAUAGGUUGAUAUACUUAAUUCACUAUAAACAAUGCUCUGAUACCAAUCUGUCACACCCCAAAACCGAUAACGGCGGAAACGUUCUGGGGUGGAGGAUGUCAUGUUCAGUAUCACAACAAUGAAAAUUAGUAAACAAGCAACAACAUCAUCCAUUGCAUUAAUAAUAUAAUUUUAAUACAAGUGUGUUCUGUUAAAUUAUAAUAACACUAAAGAAUAAGUCAAAAUGAAAGAUGCGUCUUGAACGAGCACCAUCUUCUCUGAACCUUGCAUCGGUACCUGUCUAUGCUUGACCUGAGGAUACAAGUUAUUUUGAAAGAGAGUAUCAGCUUUAAAGCUGGUGAGAUCAUAAGUAUUUUAGUGUCUUAAUUUAUAUGUAUAUGAAUUGUAAGUAUUGAAAAUGUAUUUGAAUCGUAAGUAUUGAAAAUGUAUGUAAAAAAACUGUAAACGUUUGAAAAACUCUAGAAAUCCCUAUGAUUCCUACUAUUAUAUAAGGGUGUCUUCUACCAAGACAUAACUGCUCUGAAUGCAGUCUUCUACCAUCACUUAACUGUUCUAAUUGUUCGUUUCUGGUAAAAGUGUGUAAUUUUCCCAAGUGUAACUAUCAUUAACAAAAUAUAGUUUUUUUCAUUUAAUGUUUAAGUGAAAAGAUCACUAAAUAUAUGUAACGGGAAAAUUAAUGUAGUAUUGUAGUGUAGUGCUAUAAGAACUACUGAUAUACUACCUACCUUAAACCGGAUUUAUAUUAAGGCAUCAUGUGAUUAAUUGUACCAUACUAUCGACUGGGUAACAACGACAAAUGUAGGUCGUAAAAAGGUAUGACGUUUGGCACCCGCAGACCUGCAGGUCCGGCUGUAGCUAGCAGCAAGGUGUAGUAUAGUCAAUCCAGUAUAGAUCUAUACGCAAACUCACGCUCUCCCUCCAAGAGACUCUGGCUACAACUCGGGCCAUGACAUUGAAGGCAUGCUCCGAUACAGUGGAUCACAAUUAUGUCAACAUAUUCAUGUAUAUGUAAUGUACUGAACUGUUCUACAUGUGCUAGCUGUAAUGUGUGUUCUCUCUCUAUCUAGCAUGAAUAGUAAUGUACUGAAAUGUUCUAGCUGUAAUGUAUGUUCUCUCUAUCUAGCAAGUAUUGAUUCAUGAAUGAACUGAUUCAUGAACAGCUAAAAGUGUAGUAAAUGCAUUUGAAUGCUGCUUAUUAAUCACAUGUGAUUGAUAUAAUAAUUAGCAUAAUUCUACUUGUAUCCCCCCCCCCCAAAUAAAACAUUUAAAAACAGUUAAAACAUUGAUUAAGGGGUAUGAACUCACCUGUUGUGGGUGACACGGAUAAACUGAAGAGGUAGGACUGCUAGGUGUCAAGUGAAGACUUUAUACACACACAAUGGUCCUAAUUACAUAUGAAGACAUAUGUAUAUAAACAAUUAGUGAUUAAAACACUAAUUAACCAUGUAUAAAUAUCCUAAUGCGCGGAAAACACUUUGGUCAAGUGUUAGGAGGCUAUCGGGUUGCAACAAGAGAGUGCAAGACCUCAUACAUGAGUUUAUAGUCUAAAGAUGAUGUGUGAUGGAGUUUACGGCCCAGGGGAGUAAACUCCUGGCCGUAAACUCUCUAUUGGGUCACUAAAUGAAGCUU